GACGAACGCUGGCGGCGUGCUUAACACAUGCAAGUCGAACGGAAAGGCCCUGCUUUUGUGGGGUGCUCGAGUGGCGAACGGGUGAGUAACACGUGAGUAACCUGCCCUUGACUUUGGGAUAACUUCAGGAAACUGGGGCUAAUACCGGGUAGGAGCUCCUGCUGCAUGGUGGGGGUUGGAAAGUUUCGGCGGUUGGGGAUGGACUCGCGGCUUAUCAGCUUGUUGGUGGGGUAGUGGCUUACCAAGGCUUUGACGGGUAGCCGGCCUGAGAGGGUGACCGGCCACAUUGGGACUGAGAUACGGCCCAGACUCCUACGGGAGGCAGCAGUGGGGAAUAUUGCACAAUGGGCGGAAGCCUGAUGCAGCAACGCCGCGUGCGGGAUGACGGCCUUCGGGUUGUAAACCGCUUUCGCCUGUGACGAAGCGUGAGUGACGGUAAUGGGUAAAGAAGCCCCGGCUAACUACGUG
This 468-nucleotide ribosomal RNA is filed under the name uncultured bacterium. Its description in RNAcentral is "partial 16S ribosomal RNA". It matches the Rfam family "Bacterial small subunit ribosomal RNA", at positions 28 to 507 of the family's 1533-position model. The record is from RNAcentral.